GACGAACGCUGGCGGCGUGCCUAAUACAUGCAAGUAGAACGCUGAAGCUUGGUGCUUGCACCGUGCUGAUGAGUUGCGAACGGGUGAGUAACGCGUAGGUAACCUGCCUGGUAGCGGGGUAUAAUUAUUGGAAACGUUCUCUAAUCCCGCAUAACAUUAGACUUCGCAUGUUAUCUACUUGAAAGUCGCAAAUUCACCACUACCUCAUGGCUCUGCGUUUUAUUGGUUAGUUGGUGAGGUACCGGCUCACUAAGGCAACGAUACAUAGCCGAACUGAGCGGGUGAUCGGCCACACUGGGACGGAGACAGGGCACAGACUGCUUCAGAAAGCAGCAGGAGGGAAUCGUCAGGAAUGGAGGGAAAACAGACCAAACAACGCCGCGUGAGUGAAGAAGGAUUUCGGAUCGGAAAGCUCUGUUGUAAGAGAAGAACGAGUGUGAGAGUGGAAAGUUCACACUGUGACGGUAUCUUACAAGAAAGAGACGGCUAACUACGUG
RNAcentral lists this ribosomal RNA (497 nucleotides) under uncultured bacterium. RNAcentral's name for it is "partial 16S ribosomal RNA". It matches the Rfam family "Bacterial small subunit ribosomal RNA", at positions 28 to 507 of the family's 1533-position model. The record is from RNAcentral.